Molecule: ribosomal RNA, 499 nt
Filed under: uncultured bacterium
Lineage: Bacteria
Description: partial 16S ribosomal RNA
Rfam family: Bacterial small subunit ribosomal RNA
Source: RNAcentral
GAUGAACGCUGGCGGCGUGCCUAACACAUGCAAGUCGAGCGAGAUAAAUGUGAGUGGAGACUUCGGUCAAAGCAAUCAUUUUGAAAGCGGCGGACGGGUGAGUAACGCGUGAGCAAUCUGCCCCAUACAAAGGGAUACCCACUGGAAACGGUGAUUAAUACCUUAUAAGACCACGAAGUCGCCUGGCUUAGUGGCCAAAGAUUUAUCGGUAUGGGAUGAGCUUGCGUCUGAUUAGCUAGUUGGUGAGGUAAUGGCUCACCAAGGCGACGAUCAGUAGCCGACCUGAGAGGGUGAACGGCCACACUGGAACUGAGACACGGUCCAGACUCCUACGGGAGGCAGCAGUGGGGAAUAUUGCACAAUGGGCGCAAGCCUGAUGCAGCAACGCCGCGUGAAUGAUGAAGGCCUUCGGGUCGUAAAGUUCUGUCCUAAGGGAAGAAUACAGUGACGGUACCUUAGGAGGAAGCCCCGGCUAACUACGUGCCAGCAGCCGCCGUAA